RNAcentral lists this ribosomal RNA (253 nucleotides) under uncultured bacterium. Its description in RNAcentral is "partial 16S ribosomal RNA". It matches the Rfam family "Bacterial small subunit ribosomal RNA", at positions 524 to 776 of the family's 1533-position model. The record is from RNAcentral.
UACGUAGGGUGCAAGCGUUAUCCGGAAUUAUUGGGCGUAAAGAGCUCGUAGGUGGUUUGUCGCGUUGUUCGUGAAAUCUCACGGCUUAACUGUGAGCGUGCGGGCGAUACGGGCAGACUAGAGUACUGCAGGGGAGACUGGAAUUCCUGGUGUAGCGGUGGAAUGCGCAGAUAUCAGGAGGAACACCGGUGGCGAAGGCGGGUCUCUGGGCAGUAACUGACGCUGAGGAGCGAAAGCGUGGGGAGCGAACAGG